This 3167-nucleotide long non-coding RNA is filed under the name Homo sapiens (human). Its description in RNAcentral is "HSALNT0210013". Lineage: Eukaryota; Metazoa; Chordata; Mammalia; Primates; Hominidae. The record is from RNAcentral.
CAUCAAUCAGUCCAGGCAUCAAUUAAUCAAUUCAGUGGAUUAUUAAUACAACUUCCAACAGCUCAAGCUACUGUGUUAAGUCCUGAAUCCCAGGGGUAAGCCAGCUACCAUACUGUGAAAACACUCAAGCAGCAUCACUGAAGGACCUGCAUGGAGAGAAAUUGAGGUCUCCACUCAACUAGCAAGUACCAUAUUCCCAGCCAUGCAUAUGAGUUACAUUGGAAGUGAAUCAGCAGCUCCCUUCCAGCCUUCAGAUGACUAUAGCAGCAGUUGACAUUAAACAACAAUCUCACAAGACACACCCAGCUGUCACAUAUAUGAGAUGGAGGCAAUAAUACCAAUCCUACCUCCUAUCAGGGUGAGUGAAUGGCUUAAGUGAGAGGGCAGAUGAUAAACUUCUGGGAGCAGCUCUGAUACAGAAGAGAAAGCAUGGAUCUAAGUAAUGGUACUCUUCCUAAAUUUGAGGUCUGAUUCCACUUUUUACAAGAGCUCUAAUUCAUUGUGAAUUUCAACGAGAGUUUUCUUGGCACAGAAAAGAAGCACCUGCUGAUUUUCUGCUUUAUCAAGAAACACCUGCUGCUUUAUCAAGAGUGAGUAGAGAUCUAGCCUUCCCACUGGACUUUGCCCUGUAAGUCCUUCUGGAGUGGUACAGAAAAGCUUCAGAAGCUUUUUCCAAGAGGAAUCUUGUGCGACUCUGGCUAUAAACAAUGCUCCUCUGGACCCAGGUACCAAUGGGAAACACACAGUAGGAGACAUAAUUUAUCUUCCCAUUUGUGCUCCAACACCCUGAGGAAGGACUGCACCUACAGUUUUGCAGUUAUAGCAGCCUGAGCAUUGUGCUAGAGAAAGACAUGUUCUUCCCAGAGCGACAGUGGUAGCUGGCCCAGCAGAGCACCAGUGGAGACAGCAAAGACACGGUGCAGCCUGGUAAAAGAACAUUGGCUUGAAGCAUGUCCAUCCUCAACACUGAGACAUAUUGAACCCGUAAGAAUGCUUAAGGAGAAAUUCUCAGGGACACCAGUUCCUACACUUAUGAUGGUGAGAGGUAAAGAAAAAUGUGAAAUUUGGGUGCAAAUGCUAAUAUUAGUGUAUCUGUGCCUUAGAGUGGUGGUCUUUGGGAUUCUUCAGGCUCUUUAUUUAGUAGCUUUAAUGCUAGCUUGAAUUUCCUACUCUUACUUUUUUGACCUCAUUUUUUUUACAUUAAAACAUUUAAUAUUGUGACAUUAUUAUACACUUUUUUCUUAAGCGAAAUUAAAUAUUUUCUUAGAAUAAGAUAGUACUAAAUAAAUGAUUAAGUGAUUGAUAUUUUACAGUAGAAGCUCAAAUGAGCAAUAAACAUGUAAUGCAAAAGAAGUUUGUGGUAGACCAAGUGAUAACCACCCAAAGAUGUCCACUUCCUGCUUGCCUGUAUCUAUGAAUAUGUUAUCUUACAUGGCAAAAGGGACCCUACAGAUGUGAUUAAGUUAAGGAUCAUAAAAUGGAAGAUUAUCCUGGAUUUAUUGGGUAGGACCAAUAUAAUCACAAUGGUGCUUAUAAGACAGAAGGUGGAAACAAAUGAGUCAUGGAAGGAGAUAUGACGAUGGAAGCAGAAAUCAGAGAAAUGCAGCCACUAGCCAAGAGAUGCAGGCAGGCCCUAGACAUUGGAAGAGGCAUUGAACAGAUUCUCUCCUAAUAGCCUCUAAAAAGAAUGCAACUCUGCAGAACCUCUGAUGAUUUUCGUGCUGUAAGAGCUAUUCUGAACUUCUGAUUUCCAGAACUGUUAAAACCUUAAAUGUACAUUAUUAUAUAAUAGUACAUUUGUGGAAAUUUGUUACAGCAUCAGCAGGAGUAUAGUACAAGACUUUAAUGAGAUACACUUUACUCCUAUCAAAUUGCUUUUUUUUCCCCCUAGGUAACACUAAAUGUUUAGUAAAGUUUAGUAAAAAUAGAACUAAUAUCCACCACUGAUAAAGUAUAAGCUGAAAUAUUUUCAGAAAGUAAGCAGCAUAGACAAAGGUCUAAAUCCUUAAAGUAAUUUUAAUACUUUGACCAGGUAACUAAAUUUCAGGAAUUUAAGAUGAGAAAAUAAUUAGAUAUGUGUAUAAAUACCUUUACACAGUGCUGUGCAUUCAAACAUUACAUAUGCUGAAACUAGAUUCACUUAAAUGGUUUGGAUAAACUUUACUGUAUCCAUGCAAAGAAAUAUAUUACACAGUUGUCAACUGCAUUAAAUGCCAAAGUAAAGAGUCAGACACCUAAGUUAUUGUAUAUUAUAGCUCUAAUGUUAUAAAAUAUAACUAUAAAUCAAUAUUUGUGAAAGAAAAAUAUUAAUAUGAAAUAUACUAAUAUAACUCAUUUUUGAAUGAGAUGUGUGAUGUGUCUUUUUGCCUUUACAUCGUCCUGAUAUUUUUUCAUUUUUUCAUGAAGGGUUAGUACAUUACUUCCAUAAUCAUAAAAAGUAAAUAUGAAAUGUAUAUUUAACAUGUUAUUAUGAGGAAACUCAAUAAAUAAAGCAUAUCAUCACUGUUAUGCUGGAAACGAAUGCUGUAAGCCCAGAAUCCUCACAGUAAGAUAGCAUCAUUCUGUUAACUGAUAGUUGGAAAGCUAUUGGCUGGUAUGUCUGUCAAUUCAAUUGUUAAUCUGUAUUCUGUAUAUUUUUUAAUAUUAAAAAUCAUUUUAAAAUGUAAACUCCAUUAUUGUUAUAAUUUUAAAAAUUAACUAAGGUGCCAGGAGUUGUGAAUCAUCACCACAGGGUUAACAAUAAGAAGUUAUAUGACUUUCAACUCUUUCCUUUAACCUUCUGGAAUACAAUUUUCUCACCUAAAAAACAAAGAUGUUUCAUUAGAUGAUUAGUCGAUUAAUUUAUGGUUUUCCAAUUGUGACUCUUGUAAGGAUCUAAAAUAUUUAUGCCGCACACCUCUUCUGAGAAGAAACUGUCGUUGCUCCAAUAUUCCUGCCUACAUCUAACAAUAUUCCCCGUAAAUUACUCUGUAAUCCUUUUUCACUCCUUACAUGCCUUCAUGUCUCUUCUAGUAGAUUAGAUAACGAUGUAUGUUCCACUCUGAGCAGGUAUAUUCAGACCUACCUAUAAAGGUCAAGGGAGCUGAGAGGCCAAAGAAAGGGACUGACAAAUCCAGUUUCUCAGAAAGAAACUGUCAGGCCUCUGAGCCCAAGCCAACCAUCCCAGC